Molecule: ribosomal RNA, 466 nt
Filed under: uncultured Pseudomonadota bacterium
Lineage: Bacteria; Pseudomonadati; Pseudomonadota
Description: bacterial SSU rRNA
Rfam family: Bacterial small subunit ribosomal RNA
Source: RNAcentral
AGAGUUUGAUCAUGGCUCAGAACGAACGCUGGCGGCAGGCUUAACACAUGCAAGUCGAGCGCCUCGCAAGAGGAGCGGCAGACGGGUGAGUAACGCGUGGGAAUCUACCCAUCUCUACGGAACAACUCCGGGAAACUGGAGCUAAUACCGUAUACGUCCUUCGGGAGAAAGAUUUAUCGGAGAUGGAUGAGCCCGCGUUGGAUUAGCUAGUUGGUGGGGUAAUGGCCUACCAAGGCGACGAUCCAUAGCUGGUCUGAGAGGAUGAUCAGCCACAUUGGGACUGAGACACGGCCCAAACUCCUACGGGAGGCAGCAGUGGGGAAUAUUGGACAAUGGGCGAAAGCCUGAUCCAGCCAUGCCGCGUGAGUGAUGAAGGCCCUAGGGUUGUAAAGCUCUUUCAACGGUGAAGAUAAUGACGGUAACCGUAGAAGAAGCCCCGGCUAACUUCGUGCCAGCAGCCGCGGUA